GAGUUUGAUCUUGGCUCAGCAUGAACGCUGGCGGCGUGCCUAAUACAUGCAAGUCGAGCGAACGGACGAGAAGCUUGCUUCUCUGAUGUUAGCGGCGGACGGGUGAGUAACACGUGGAUAACCUACCUAUAAGACUGGGAUAACUUCGGGAAACCGGAGCUAAUACCGGAUAAUAUUUUGAACCGCAUGGUUCAAAAGUGAAAGACGGUCUUGCUGUCACUUAUAGAUGGAUCCGCGCUGCAUUAGCUAGUUGGUAAGGUAACGGCUUACCAAGGCAACGAUGCAUAGCCGACCUGAGAGGGUGAUCGGCCACACUGGAACUGAGACACGGUCCAGACUCCUACGGGAGGCAGCAGUAGGGAAUCUUCCGCAAUGGGCGAAAGCCUGACGGAGCAACGCCGCGUGAGUGAUGAAGGUCUUCGGAUCGUAAAACGUCUGUUUAUUAGGGAAGAACAUAUGUGUAAGUAACUGUGCAC
This 476-nucleotide ribosomal RNA is filed under the name uncultured microorganism. RNAcentral describes it as "bacterial SSU rRNA". It matches the Rfam family "Bacterial small subunit ribosomal RNA", at positions 9 to 473 of the family's 1533-position model. The record is from RNAcentral.